UGUGGGAGCGAGCCUGCUCGCGAUGACGUGAUGUCAGUCAGUAUGGAGUCGACUGAUUCACCGCCAUCGCGAGCAGGCUCGCUCCCACA
This 89-nucleotide unclassified non-coding RNA is filed under the name Pseudomonas sp. NFACC45. The record is from RNAcentral. Lineage: Bacteria; Pseudomonadati; Pseudomonadota; Gammaproteobacteria; Pseudomonadales; Pseudomonadaceae.